This 1564-nucleotide long non-coding RNA is filed under the name Canis lupus familiaris (dog). RNAcentral describes it as "lncRNA (ENSCAFG00805011019.1, ENSCAFG00845023918.1)". The record is from RNAcentral. Lineage: Eukaryota; Metazoa; Chordata; Mammalia; Carnivora; Canidae.
GUCACGUUUGGAACAGUUUUUCUUUCAAAUGUCAGGUAGGUGUGAAAGAUUUGACAGGGAAAUGUUGUGAUUCUCAUCUCAAAGCCCAUUUUGUGAUCAGUGGGGAGGGGACAUCAUUUCAGAUCUUUUAAUUCAAAGUUAUAUUCCAGUUUAUUGGAGUAAUGCAUUUUACACAAACAAGGACUCCUUAAAUCAAUAAUUUUUACCCGUUAAGGGGAAUAAAGACCUUUAAUAAUCAUGAAAAACAUGGACUUUCUGAAAAUUUCCAUAUAAACACAUAAGAAUUGUUUCAUGCCAUUUCUGCAGAUUUGCAAAGGUGCUUAAAGCUCAUGCAUGGACCCCAGAUUGGAAUCCUCGAGACAAGCAAAAGCACUUGCCCAGGACUGAUGGCCGCUCGUCCCACUGUGAUGGCCAUGGGAGAGGAAGAGUGGAUGGGGACAACUGCCUUUCCCCCAGGGAAUGCGUCCAGCAGCCCUCAGUCGAAGCACUGUUGCUAUAAGCUAUCUCGGGGGUGCUCUAGGGCCCCCUCCUUCAGCUCACCUCUGGGGAAAGUACGCACUGUAUUAACUUUGAGGAUUUUCCUCCCCAACAAUAAAUGGAGACAACCUCAGUUGCCAGUGCCCCAGAGCCUGGGGCGCUUUGCCCUCAAAAAAAAAAAAGCUCCAGCAGCUGAGCCCUGGAGUGCCUCAUGGCAGGGCUCCUUCUUCCCUUCUGACUUGACAGUACAGUUCACCAUGGUGCCAACGCCAUCUGGGGCCAGCUGGGCAGAGCCAGGGCUCCUCAUGGACAUCCUGAGCAUCCGAAAGAGGCGAAGGCCUCUGAGGGGAGACGGUUCAGGCCAUCCUCAUCCAUUUAUCCAAUUUAUACAAUCCAAUAAAUUUAUCCAAUAAAAUCUGUAAAUUUUCUGUUAUUGAUUUAACUCUCUCCUGCUGGCCUUAGAACUUGGAAACAUCUGACUUCUCUUUAUGAAAACUCUUGUCAUAAGUGCUUAACUGAAUGAUUAACCUUUUCCAUGGAGGAAAUCAUGCUCUAUGAAUCACAGGAAGCUUAAUCAAUAGACUCAUAUUUCCAGUUCUAUAAAACUGGAAGAUCCAAGUUCCAAUCCAAUAAUAACAUGUGAUCAUUUGGUCAAUUUCUGGUUCUAUGAUAAAAUAUUUUGUAUUUAUAUGCUAAUACUAGAUGCUGAAUUUAAGUGUUUAUCAUCAUUCUUGACAAUUUAAAAAUUACUAGCAUUUUUCGACAUUUAGAAUUUCUCAGCUUGGAGAGAAAUUUACUGAGGACUACUGGGAGAGAGUGUUAGACUCCAGUGUUCCUGAAAGCUGGGUCCGCUUUCUUAUGCUGCUCCUUGGAAAAACAGACUUUCUUUCUGGCUCAAGUUAUAUCUUCCUUUUAUUAAGUUAUAUAUCUCAAGGUCUUGCAGUAUUUUCUCUUUCUCAGAUAACACAAUACAAGUAACUGGGGGCAGAUGGGAAUCCAAUAUUAGUAUAAUUUUGGCAAAACUGAAAAUAUGCUACGCUCCUGAUUAAAUCCCAUCUGCAUCCCUCAUGCCAAGAGUUUAAGUGUC